This is a regulatory RNA element of Lachnoclostridium sp. An196, 136 nucleotides long. It matches the Rfam family "Ribosomal protein L10 leader". From Rfam's summary of the family: This family is a putative r-protein leader autoregulatory structure found in B. subtilis and other low-GC Gram-positive bacteria. It is located in the 5' untranslated regions of mRNAs encoding ribosomal proteins L10 and L12 (rplJ-rplL). Lineage: Bacteria; Bacillati; Bacillota; Clostridia; Lachnospirales; Lachnospiraceae. The record is from Rfam.
ACAGUUAAAGAUGACUGCCCGAAGACAGCAGGUGCCUGAGUGCGUAAGUUGUAAACGCCUGCCGAGGAAAGCAUUCGAUAUGGAAUGACUUGUGAUCCCUCUGUGUCUGCGGCACAGAGGGAUUUUUUUGCCGGAA